Molecule: non-coding RNA, 307 nt
Organism: Danio rerio (zebrafish)
Lineage: Eukaryota; Metazoa; Chordata; Actinopteri; Cypriniformes; Danionidae
Source: RefSeq, a predicted model, not a curated record
UUAAUAUAGAUAGUAAUUAAAAGGUCUGCUAGUCUAAAUUUCUAUUUUGAUUGGUCUUUUGAUGUUUUAUUUAAAACCCACUCUUUUCUUUACUCAACAGGCUAUUUUUACAUGGAGGUAAUCUUCUAUUGAUAAUUUCUGGAUUUUAAUUAUGCCUGUUGAAUUCACCUCAGAUCAGUGUUGCUGUAAUUCCUGAUCUAUGGAAAGAAGAAUUGGAUGAGUGAGCAACACCCCAACUACAGGGCCUGUUCUUUCUCUUCUCAUAAUUUAACUGGAUUAUCUGUUGAAUUUGUUUCUUCCUCUGACU